RNAcentral lists this ribosomal RNA (346 nucleotides) under uncultured bacterium. Its description in RNAcentral is "partial 16S ribosomal RNA". It matches the Rfam family "Bacterial small subunit ribosomal RNA", at positions 338 to 701 of the family's 1533-position model. The record is from RNAcentral.
CCUACGGGAGGCAGCAGUGGGGAAUAUUGCACAAUGGGGGAAACCCUGAUGCAGCAACGCCGCGUGAGUGAUGACGGCCUUCGGGUUGUAAAGCUCUGUCUUCAGGGACGAGAAUGACGGUACCUGAGGAGGAAGCCACGGCGAACUACGUGCCAGCAGCCGCGGUAAGACGUAGGGGGCGAGCGUUGUCCGGAUUUACUGGGCGUAAAGGGAGCGUAGGCGGACUUUGAAGUGAGAUGUGAAAUCCUCGGGCUCAACUUGAGUGCUGCAUGUCAAACUGGAAGUCUAGAGUGCAGGAGAGGAUACUGGAAUUCCUCGUGUAGCGGUGAAAUGCGUAGAUAUUAGG